UUUGUGGGGAAUGUUGUCUGGCUCGAGGAAAUCUUCAAUCCUGAUCAAUUUUUUUUUAUACAUAUUUUUAUAGUAAUUACUAUAUUGUUACAUAGAUCUAUACAAUAUUUAUGAUAGAUCUAUGAAUUUUUGAUUAUAUUGUUGGGUGUCGUCGGACCAGGCUUCAUUCCCCUCAAA
This 177-nucleotide microRNA precursor is filed under the name Solanum tuberosum (potato). RNAcentral describes it as "mir-166 microRNA precursor family". It matches the Rfam family "mir-166 microRNA precursor family". From Rfam's summary of the family: This family represents the plant microRNA (miRNA) precursor mir-166. Lineage: Eukaryota; Viridiplantae; Streptophyta; Magnoliopsida; Solanales; Solanaceae. The record is from Rfam by way of RNAcentral.